CUACGGGUGGCAGCAGUGGGGAAUAUUGGACAAUGGGCGAAAGCCUGAUCCAGCCAUGCCGCGUGUGUGAAGAAGGCCUUCGGGUUGUAAAGCACUUUCAGUGGGGAAGAAAGCCUUGGGGCUAAUACCCUCGAGGAAGGACAUCACCCACAGAAGAAGCACCGGCUAACUCCGUGCCAGCAGCCGCGGUAAUACGGAGGGUGCGAGCGUUAAUCGGAAUUACUGGGCGUAAAGCGCGCGUAGGCGGUCUGAUAAGCCGGUUGUGAAAGCCCCGGGAUCAACCUGGGAACGGCAUCCGGAACUGUCAGGCUAGAGUGCAGGAGAGGAAGGUAGAAUUCCCGGUGUAGCAGUGAAAUGCGUAGAGAUCGGGAGGAAUACCAGUGGCGAAGGCGGCCUUCUGGACUGACACUGACGCUGAGGUGCGAAAGCGUGGGUAGCAAACAGGAUUAGAUACCCCAGUAGUC
This 464-nucleotide ribosomal RNA is filed under the name Vreelandella stevensii. Its description in RNAcentral is "partial 16S ribosomal RNA". It matches the Rfam family "Bacterial small subunit ribosomal RNA", at positions 339 to 795 of the family's 1533-position model. The record is from RNAcentral. Lineage: Bacteria; Pseudomonadati; Pseudomonadota; Gammaproteobacteria; Oceanospirillales; Halomonadaceae.